Molecule: non-coding RNA, 282 nt
Filed under: Pongo abelii (Sumatran orangutan)
Lineage: Eukaryota; Metazoa; Chordata; Mammalia; Primates; Hominidae
Source: RNAcentral
GCUCAGAGAACAGUGUAGAAACCCGCGCUGUGUGAAGCGAGGUUGGGCGCAAGAGAAGCGGGCAUGACCUGGCCAUCGGGGAGGCCGGAAGCCCUCGCCUUUGGUCUUUCACGUUGGCAGCGCCUCUGCUGGGCCUCGGGCCGCUCACCUGCGGAAGGGGCCGCACUCUUCACCAUGGAGUCCACCGCCUCCUGCACCCGGAGCUGCUGCAGCUCCGCCAUGGCGACCCCGCGCUGCCCCGCGGCGCUCCGCGCCGGCGCCCAUAUGGAAUCGGCGUACGGG